AGAAGAACCUCUUCUUCCACCUGGAAUUCCGGAUGUGGAAUUAAUGGAUGAGGUUGAGAAAUUGAAGCAGGAGAUCCUGAAAGCAACGGAAUCAACUGGGAAGAUUCCAGACACAGGCCUGAAUGAGAUGAUAGAAAAAUUAAGAAGAGAAAUUGAUUAUGAAUUUUCUGAGGCUGUUAAAGCUUUGGGUUUGGAGGAAAAACUUGUCAUGGCGCGAGAAGAAUUUGCAAAAACAAGGAACUCAAAUGACCAGUCAAUGCAUCCUGUUCUGAAGGAAAAACUUGACCAGCUUAAGGAUGAAUUCAACAGAAACAUUUCUGCUGCUCCAAAUUAUGCUAGCCUAACGAAUAAGCUUGAGAUGUUGCAAGAAAUGUCUAAAGCCCAGAAACUCUCAGGGAAAUAUAGCAAGGUAAACAACUUGAAGGAGGAGAUCAAUAAGAGGUUAAAAGAAGUCAUGAACCGCCCAGAUUUGAAGGAGAAGAUGGACGCAUUGAAGGCUGAGAUCAAGAGUACUGGUGUAUCGAGAGUCAUGGAUCUAGACCAGGGGAUAAAGGAUAAACUUGUGCAACUGAAGGAUGAAAUAUAUAUGGAAUUUUCUGGUGUUUUCGAAUCCCUAGGCUUAAACGUCAACCCAGCAUCACUUCCUACUGAUGCCAAGAGAAGAAUCAAUGAAUUUAACAAUGAAAUUGCAACGGUUAUGGAAGACCUCGUGAACUCCACGGAUUUGAAAAACAAGAUUGAGUUGUUAAAGAUGGAGGUAACAAAGGCUGGAAAGACAGCAGAUGCUGAGUCAAAGGCAAAAAUUCAGGCCUUAGAACAGCAAAUAAAGCAAAGUCUUGCACAGGCUAUGAGUUUUCCAGAGUUAAAGGAGAAACACGAGAAGCUGAAGGAAGAGAUUGUGGAAACCAUUGAAUCCCUUCAAGGAUCCAAUGGAAGUUUGCUAGCAGAUAACGGUGGUGCCAAUUCAGGAGUAGGAGUAAAUGUAGAUGCAAACCGUAGCUUUGCCUGAUUUCAACCAUGAUGCAGGUUAGCAACUAGCUUUUGCAAAAGAUAAAUCUGUGAAACUACUCCAGUAUGCAGACAAUGGAGCCUUUUUCUUUGCGGUGCACUCAAUUUGCAAUUCCUUUCUCAGACUAGGCUCUGCUACAAUUUUUCUGGAUUUUGUUUUGUGUUUCUUUAGAAUAAUUAACAGUUGUUUUAAGAGUUUUAAGUUAGAUUGAAAUGUUACUUUAAUGAACAUUGUUUAGCAGCGAAAUACUGUAUAAAUUAUGUGUCUGGAGAGAAGAAGGUUAGAUCAUGCUGCAAAAUACCAACUGGUUGAGUUCUCAUAAAUGUUAUCUGAUAUGCUAUGGAGUAUUUUCUUUU
RNAcentral lists this unclassified non-coding RNA (1365 nucleotides) under Hevea brasiliensis (rubber tree). The record is from RNAcentral. Lineage: Eukaryota; Viridiplantae; Streptophyta; Magnoliopsida; Malpighiales; Euphorbiaceae.